Molecule: ribosomal RNA, 356 nt
Filed under: uncultured bacterium
Lineage: Bacteria
Description: bacterial SSU rRNA
Rfam family: Bacterial small subunit ribosomal RNA
Source: RNAcentral
AACGAACGCUGGCGGCAGGCCUAAAACAUGCAAGUCGAACGAUGUAGCAAUACAUAGUGGCGCACGGGUGCGUAACGCGUGGGAACAUACCUCUAGGUGCGGAACAACGUCUGGAAACGGACGCUAAUACCGCAUAAUAUCUACGGAUCAAAGAUUUAUCGCCUAGAGAUUGGCCCGCGUCUGAUUAGCUAGUUGGUGAGGUAAUGGCUCACCAAGGCUACGAUCAGUAGCUGGUCUGAGAGGAUGAUCAGCCACACUGGGACUGAGACACGGCCCAGACUCCUACGGGAGGCAGCAGUUAGGAAUAUUGGACAAUGGCGAAAGACCUGAUCACGCACUGCCGCGUGUGUGAAGAA